GCAAUUUAUACCGUGAAACUGCGAAUGGCUCAUUAAAUCAGUUAUCGUUUAUUUGAUAAUACCUUACUACUUGGAUAACCGUGGUAAUUCUAGAGCUAAUACAUGCUGAAAAUCCCGACUUCGGAAGGGAUGUGUUUAUUAGAUAAAAAACCAAUGCCCUUCGGGGCUUUUUGGUGAUUCAUGAUAACUUUACGGAUCGCAUAGCCUUGCGCUGGCGACGGUUCAUUCAAAUUUCUGCCCUAUCAACUUUCGAUGGUAAGGUAUUGGCUUACCAUGGUUUCAACGGGUAACGGGGAAUUAGGGUUCGAUUCCGGAGAGGGAGCCUGAGAAACGGCUACCACAUCCAAGGAAGGCAGCAGGCGCGCAAAUUACCCAAUCCCGACACGGGGAGGUAGUGACAAUAAAUACUGAUACAGGGCUCUUUUGGGUCUUGUAAUUGGAAUGAGUACAAUUUAAACCUCUUAACGAGGAACAAUUGGAGGGCAAGUCUGGGGUCAU
RNAcentral lists this ribosomal RNA (498 nucleotides) under Ulocladium sp. N4. Its description in RNAcentral is "SSU rRNA". It matches the Rfam family "Eukaryotic small subunit ribosomal RNA", at positions 69 to 570 of the family's 1831-position model. The record is from RNAcentral. Lineage: Eukaryota; Fungi; Ascomycota; Dothideomycetes; Pleosporales; Pleosporaceae.